RNAcentral lists this ribosomal RNA (117 nucleotides) under Streptococcus anginosus. Its description in RNAcentral is "partial 16S ribosomal RNA". It matches the Rfam family "Bacterial small subunit ribosomal RNA", at positions 28 to 131 of the family's 1533-position model. Lineage: Bacteria; Bacillati; Bacillota; Bacilli; Lactobacillales; Streptococcaceae. The record is from RNAcentral.
GACGAACGCUGGCGGCGUGCCUAAUACAUGCAAGUAGGACGCACAGUUUAUACCGUAGCUUGCUACACCAUAGACUGUGAGUUGCGAACGGGUGAGUAACGCGUAGGUAACCUACCU